CCUACGGGUGACAGCAGUGGGGAAUAUUGGGCAAUGGACGCAACUCUGACCCAGCAACGCCGCGUGAAUGAAGAAGGCUUUCGGAUUGUAAACUUCUUUUCUAAGGGACGAAGAAAGUGACGGUACCUUAGGAAUAAGCCACGGCUAACUACGUGCCAGCAGCCGCGGUAAUACGUAGGAGGCAAGCGUUAUCCGGAUUGAUUGGGUGUAAAGGGUGCGUAGGCGGGAGCGCAAGUCAGAUGUGAAACCUCGGGGCUCAACCCUGGGACUGCUAUUGAAACUGUGUUUCUUGAGUGCUGGAGAGGCAAUCGGAAUUCCUAGUGUAGCGGUGAAAUGCGUAGAUAUACGGAGGAACACCAGUGGCGAAGGCGGAUUGCUGGACAGUAACUGACGCUGAGGCGCGAAAGCGUGGGGAGCAAACAGGAUUAGAUACCCUAGUAGUC
Molecule: ribosomal RNA, 443 nt
Filed under: uncultured bacterium
Lineage: Bacteria
Description: partial 16S ribosomal RNA
Rfam family: Bacterial small subunit ribosomal RNA
Source: RNAcentral